This 645-nucleotide ribosomal RNA is filed under the name Triticum aestivum (bread wheat). RNAcentral's name for it is "partial small subunit ribosomal RNA". Lineage: Eukaryota; Viridiplantae; Streptophyta; Magnoliopsida; Poales; Poaceae. The record is from RNAcentral.
AUGGCCCAGCGCCAAGACAUCAUCAUUAGCCAUUUCUCCCAUCCAGGGCACGAGCUCGUGAAGCGCCACCACACUGGGCCGUUCCGCUGCGAUAUGUGCUGGGAAGACCUAUCCGGCACUGCAUACAUCUGCCGUGCCGGCUGCGACUUCUGCAUCCACGAGUCUUGCGCCGGCCACUCACAGACGUUCUCCUCCCCCGAGCACCAUUUGCACCCGCUCACGCUCGUCCAGACCCGCCGCGACGCAACCCUCUCGUGCGACGUCUGCUUUGGGGGAUGCGCCCCUGGCUCCUUCCUCUACCGCUGUCCACCAUGUGGGUUCGAUAUGCACCCGAACUGCGCGCGACUUCCCCAAGUCGUGCGCAGCGUGCGGGACCCUACGCACGACCUCACGCUGGUCAUCGCCGACGGCCACUGUGCCGCGUGCGACGCCGGCGCGGGGCGCGCGUCGUACUACCGCUGCACGGUAUGCAACGUCGACUACCACAUCUCGUGUGCAGCGACCACCGGCGACAACAACAGCGCUCAUGAAGCUCAAGAUGCCCUUGACGCUCAGAUUGUACGAUCAAGGAUUCAAGAGCAGACUAGAAACGCCAUCUUGGACAUGUGGAGUCCUGCCUAUACUGUACGCAGAGAGUACUUCUAG